GAUGAAGAACGCAGCGAAAUGCGAUACGUAAUGUGAAUUGCAGAAUUCAGUGAAUCAUCGAGUCUUUGAACGCACAUUGCGCCCCCUGGUAUUCCGGGGGGCAUGCCUGUCCGAGCGUCAUUGCUGCCCUCAAGCACGGCUUGUGUGAUGGGCCUCCGUCCUCCUCCCGGGGGACGGGCCCGAAAGGCAGCGGCGGCACCGCGUCCGGUCCUCGAGCGUAUGGGGCUUCGUCACCCGCUCUUGUAGGCCCGGCCGGCGCUUGCCGACACAUCAAUCUUUUUUCCAGGUUGACCUCGGAUCAGGUAGGGAUACCCGCUGAACUUAAGCAUAUCAAUAAGCGGAGGA
Molecule: unclassified non-coding RNA, 345 nt
Filed under: soil metagenome
Description: partial contains 5.8S ribosomal RNA, internal transcribed spacer 2, and large subunit ribosomal RNA
Rfam family: 5.8S ribosomal RNA (bases 1-120)
Source: RNAcentral